CCUACGGGUGGCUGCAGUGGGGAAUAUUGGACAAUGGGCGAAAGCCUGAUCCAGCCAUGCCGCGUGUGUGAAGAAGGCCUUCGGGUUGUAAAGCACUUUCAGUGGGGAAGAAAGCCUUGGGGCUAAUACCCUCGAGGAAGGACAUCACCCACAGAAGAAGCACCGGCUAACUCCGUGCCAGCAGCCGCGGUAAUACGGAGGGUGCGAGCGUUAAUCGGAAUUACUGGGCGUAAAGCGCGCGUAGGCGGUCUGAUAAGCCGGUUGUGAAAGCCCCGGGCUCAACCUGGGAACGGCAUCCGGAACUGUCAGGCUAGAGUGCAGGAGAGGAAGGUAGAAUUCCCGGUGUAGCGGUGAAAUGCGUAGAGAUCGGGAGGAAUACCAGUGGCGAAGGCAGCCUUCUGGACUGACACUGACGCUGAGGUGCGAAAGCGUGGGUAGCAAACAGGAUUAGAUACCCGGGUAGUC
RNAcentral lists this ribosomal RNA (465 nucleotides) under Vreelandella stevensii. RNAcentral's name for it is "partial 16S ribosomal RNA". It matches the Rfam family "Bacterial small subunit ribosomal RNA", at positions 338 to 795 of the family's 1533-position model. The record is from RNAcentral. Lineage: Bacteria; Pseudomonadati; Pseudomonadota; Gammaproteobacteria; Oceanospirillales; Halomonadaceae.